Molecule: long non-coding RNA, 165 nt
Organism: Zingiber officinale
Lineage: Eukaryota; Viridiplantae; Streptophyta; Magnoliopsida; Zingiberales; Zingiberaceae
Exons: 3
Source: RefSeq, a predicted model, not a curated record
UUCGGACAUGAGCUACCAGCAACUCACUUGAGAUUGGAUUCGCAAGGGAAGGAGUUAGCGAACAGUAGUGAAUCGUUGCUAUUGGUUGUGAGCCACUUUCAGUGACAUCUUGUUGCCAAAUUUAGAGUAAGGUAGCAGGUAAAGGAUUUAUGGAGACGCCUGGAG